GGGGAAUCUUCCGCAAUGGACGAAAGUCUGACGGAGCAACGCCGCGUGAGUGAUGACGGCCUUCGGGUUGUAAAGCUCUGUUAAUCGGGACGAAUGGUUCUUGUGCGAAUAGUGCGAGGAUUUGACGGUACCGGAAUAGAAAGCCACGGCUAACUACGUGCCAGCAGCCGCGGUAAUACGUAGGUGGCAAGCGUUGUCCGGAAUUAUUGGGCGUAAAGCGCGCGCAGGCGGAUUGGUCAGUCUGUCUUAAAAGUUCGGGGCUUAACCCCGCGAUGGGAUGGAAACUGCCAAUCUAGAGUAUCGGAGAGGAAAGUGGAAUUCCUAGUGUAGCGGUGAAAUGCGUAGAUAUUAGGAAGAACACCAGUGGCGAAGGCGACUUUCUGGACGAAAACUGACGCUGAGGCGCGAAAGCCAGGGGAGCGAACGGGAUUAGAUACCCCGGUAGUCCUGGCCGUAAACGAUGGGUACUAGGUGUAGGAGGUAUCGACCCCUUCUGUGCCGGAGUUAACGCAAUAAGUACCCCGCCUGGGGAGUACGACCGCAAGGUUG
Molecule: ribosomal RNA, 549 nt
Filed under: uncultured bacterium
Lineage: Bacteria
Description: bacterial SSU rRNA
Rfam family: Bacterial small subunit ribosomal RNA
Source: RNAcentral